CCUACGGGCGGCAGCAGUAGGGAAUAUUGCUCAAUGGGGGAAACCCUGAACCAGCCAAGUCGCGUGAGGGAAGACGGUCCUAUGGAUUGUAAACCUCUUUUGUCGGGGAGCAAACGACGCCACGCGUGGCGUUCCGCGAGUACCCGAAGAAAAAGCAUCGGCUAACUCCGUGCCAGCAGUCGCGGUAAUACGGAGGAUGCGAGCGUUAUCCGGAUUUAUUGGGUUUAAAGGGUGCGCAGGCGGAAGAUCAAGUCAGCGGUAAAAUUGAGAGGCUCAACCUCUUCGAGCCGUUGAAACUGGUGUUCUUGAGUGAGUGAGAAGUAGGCGGAAUGCGUGGUGUAGCGGUGAAAUGCAUAGAUAUCACGCAGAACUCCGAUUGCGAAGGCAGCAUACCGGCGCGCAACUGACGCUCAUGCACGAAAGUGUGGGUAUCGAACAGGAUUAGAUAACCCAGUAGUC
This 459-nucleotide ribosomal RNA is filed under the name uncultured bacterium. RNAcentral's name for it is "partial 16S ribosomal RNA". It matches the Rfam family "Bacterial small subunit ribosomal RNA", at positions 338 to 795 of the family's 1533-position model. The record is from RNAcentral.